UCUUUCACCGGAUAUACAUUUUACAGCCCUGAGGCAUUCAGAAUUUGAGACAACCCUAAUGAAGAGGAAGAGUGCCUUAGAGAGUUUAAGGAUCCAUGACUUUGAGCUAAAGUGAUAUAUUAGCAUGUACUCCGUAUUUGGUAUUUUUACUAUGGUCCUAUGGAUCUUGGCUGUGGUAUUUGUAAAACUAUCUUAAUUUUGUAGAAAAUACUAAGUUGUAGUGGUUGAAGGCUACUACAACCUGUGCAAUGUUUUUCAUGUCUAAUAUUUAUGCGUAGAUGCUCCAGAAGUGUAGUGCUUUUCUUUUUUUCUUUCUACUGUUGAAAAUUUCAUUAAUUUUAA
Long non-coding RNA from Quercus lobata, 342 nucleotides. RefSeq lists it as uncharacterized. The transcript is spliced from 2 exons. The record is from RefSeq and is a predicted model, not a curated record. NCBI's taxonomy places the organism in Eukaryota, Viridiplantae, Streptophyta, Magnoliopsida, Fagales, Fagaceae.